UUGACUUCAGUUGUGUUCGCAGCUGCCGCGUGUGCGUCCUGUUUUAUUGACUCGAAAUUGCCGCUGUCGUUGACGUCGUUGUUUUCGGUGUUUGCCGUCGCUGAGUUGACGCGGCGUAUGCUCAAUUUGAUCGGUGAUUAAGAUGCUGCAUCUGCCGCUAAUCGAACGAGCCGAGUGAAUGCCGUUCGCCGAGUCAUCGCCCAAUGUAUUAAGUGCCAUAUGAAUACACACUGGAGUGACGCCUAAAGGGCUGAUAGUUUGACGAGUUGACAGGCAACGGGUAUUGCCUCAGGCGUCUGUUUGACAGCCUCAAAUUUUUGCCGCCCAAAGUGAAUUUCAAAAAUAACAACAGCAACAGCAACAACAAUGUCGUAAUCAGCUUGCGUGUGUGUGAAUAUGCGUAUUCGUGCGUGUGUCAGCGUGUGUAAUCCAAGAAAAUCUGUCACGUGCUUUGGAUAUCCCUGUGUGCUACUCCACACGCAGCGUAUUUAUUGAAUAAAAUAAAAGAUAAAUGCGUCCGCACACAAGCGGACAGACACAGAGAACGUAUACAAGUCCAAAGGAUACGAAAUUGGCUCCCAAACCUGACAGAUGUUGUUUUUCCAACAAGAAUAACAGCUCAGCCAAGUUGUUCAAGUAGAACCCACCCGCCAAUGGCAAUGGGCCAAGGUCUAUUUACUCAGCAGCAAGUGGAGUGUGUAUACAAAUAGAGCAAGCUCGAACAACAACAGCAACUAUUGAUAAGCUAAAACAAUAAACAAAUAAAUAAUCGUAUGCAAAAAUUAUCAUCGGAAGCGUAAAAACUUUGGCUCAAUAAAAUUGGCCAUAAAAUCAAAGCGAACGAGCCGUCCCAUAAAAAACGCCGAUUCUUCGACUCCGAUAAACAAUAUAUACGAUAUAUAUAAAUGACAAAUAAGUUUUAUUUGGCGAAUUCCGUCAACGUGUGCACAAAUCAGGAUCUUGCACAUUGCGAAUACGCCACGAGUUUCCGCAGUCAGCAUAAAAUACAAAGGGAAAAAUAAAGUUUUAUUUUACUUUUGGCUAGGUGCUAAAUGCGUUUACAUAUCUCUGGCGCGGCAAUUGCCGCCUCCGUCUCCACCAGUGCAGCCAAAUUGAAGUGAAAGUGCCAAGAUUCGCAUUAUUUCUGCGUAGGUGAACAUUAAUCUCUAGCCCUGCGAGAGGAAGGGCGCAUUAUGCUGCGCUUGUGGAAAAAUCGAUCCAAAAUGCGAAUAGACGCCGUUAGCAUGGCCCACAGCCGCAGCCACAGCAGCAGCACCACCACAAUCACCACCACCACCACCACCACUACCACCACCAACAGCAGCAGCAGACAACCACAUCGCACCAAGCAGCUGACGCAGUUACUUAUUGGCAGCAUUCUCUGCAUGACAAUUGCAUCGCAUCCACAGACGAAAGCAGCGGCUACUGCUCCACCCGCAGUCACAGCCGGCUUCGAUGAGCGGGUCGUGGAGGCAUCCUCGUCAGCGGCUCUUGCCUUUCCGGCGGCUCAAGUGUCAUCCUUGCUGCCAGAGGUGAGCGCCUUGUCGGCCACUGCUGUCCUGGUGGAGCCCUAUCUGGAUGGCUAUGCCACAUCGAAUGUGACCACGCAGAUUGGCACUCACGCCUAUUUGCCCUGUCGGGUUAAGCAGCUUGGCAACAAAUCAGUAUCCUGGAUUCGUCUACGUGAUGGCCACAUACUCACGGUCGACAGAGCUGUGUUCAUAGCGGAUCAGCGCUUUCUCGCCCUCAAGCAGCCAGAUAAAUACUGGACGCUCCAAAUAAAAUAUGUGCAGGCGCGGGAUGCGGGCACCUACGAGUGCCAGGUCUCGACCGAGCCGAAAGUGAGCGCGCGCGUGCAGCUGCAAGUUGUUGUUCCUCGCACCGAAAUACUCGGCGAACCGGAUCGCUAUGUCAAAGCUGGCAGCAAUGUCGUCCUGCGCUGCAUUGUGCGGGGCGCCUUGGAGCCUCCGACGUUCAUCAUGUGGUACCACGGAACCGAGCAGCUGGCCGCCGAUUCACGGCGCCAUCGCACGCAAUUGGAUCCCAAUCUGCCAGAGGCCAGCGGCGAGGGACAGAGCACGAUCGGCUCAUUAAUCAUCGAGUCGGCCAAGAAGCGCGACACUGGCAAUUACACUUGUAGCCCGUCAAACAGUCCCAGUGCGACGGUAACGCUCAACAUUAUAAAUGGAGAAUCUUCGGCCUCUGCUGUGACGUCAUCGGCACCCAUCACACGUGCAUACACACUGUGCAUUCUGGUUUUGCUACUGAGUGUUAUCCUGAUUGGCGUGGCCCAACGGACAUGACAGGUCGAGGGUGCCGGCAAGAAGCAGCUGAAUUAAUUCAAAAAGAAAACUAUGUGCAAAUGCUAAUUAGCAGUCGAAGCAAACAUAAAUACAAACGAAGCCAACAAGCGUUUAUAAGAAAAUAUAAUACAGAAGCGAAAUCGAAAAAAAAUAUGCCAGAAAUAUAAAAAGUAAUCGAGUGCAUAUUGUAAUCUAGUUGAUUUUAUCUGCUAACUCUAUAUAAGUAAAAUGCCCAUAAAAGAAAGUCUAAACAAAAGUUAUCGACAGGCAGUAAUGGUAAAAGAAUGCAACUAAAUUCCGAAGCAUAGCUAUUUGGACAAACGGAAGGACAGCAAGUCCAGGCCCCAAUUGAAAUAAAAAUAAUAUUUGAUAUUUUGCAAUAAAACGCAUUCAGUUGGGCAACUGAUAUGCAUUUCCAUUGGAAAAUAUUUACGGGCGUGUUCAAAGAGAGAGAGCGAGACAGAG
This is an RNA transcript of Drosophila hydei, 2768 nucleotides long. It is a transcript of the gene named hemicentin-2, with no coding region annotated. The transcript has 9 exons. Lineage: Eukaryota; Metazoa; Arthropoda; Insecta; Diptera; Drosophilidae. The record is from RefSeq and is a predicted model, not a curated record.